UGCGGAAGGAUCAUUUAACGAGUUUUGAAAUGGUUGUAGCUGGCCUUACGAAGGCAUGUGCACACCCUGCUCAUCCACUCUCAUACCCCUGUGCACCUAUUGUAGGCUUGGUGGGAAGACUGGUGUCACAACCAGUCGGAAAGCCUUGCCUAUGUUUUAACACAAACGCUUCAGUUUUAGAAUGUCACAUUUGCGUCUAACGCAUGAAAUACAACUUUCAGCAACGGAUCUCUUGGCUCUCGCAUCGAUGAAGAACGCAGCGAAAUGCGAUAAGUAAUGUGAAUUGCAGAAUUCAGUGAAUCAUCGAAUCUUUGAACGCACCUUGCACUCCUUGGUAUUCCGAGGAGUAUGCCUGUUUGAGUGUCAUGGUAUUCUCAACCUCUAAAGCUUUUGCCGGAAUUAAGGAAGGGCCUUUGGAUGUGGAGGUCGUGUUGGCGCAAGUCAACUCCUCUGAAAUGCAUUAGUGUGAAUCUUACGGAUCGCCUCCAGUGUGAUAAGUAUCUACGCUGUGGUGUUGAAGUAUAUAGGCAUUCAUGCUUCUAAUCGUCUCUUCAUUGAGACAAUUACUGACAAUCUGACCUCAGUCGU
Molecule: ribosomal RNA, 588 nt
Filed under: Phlebia subserialis
Lineage: Eukaryota; Fungi; Basidiomycota; Agaricomycetes; Polyporales; Meruliaceae
Description: eukaryotic LSU rRNA
Rfam family: 5.8S ribosomal RNA (bases 213-366)
Source: RNAcentral